Molecule: long non-coding RNA, 893 nt
Organism: Gallus gallus (chicken)
Lineage: Eukaryota; Metazoa; Chordata; Aves; Galliformes; Phasianidae
Exons: 4
Source: RefSeq, a predicted model, not a curated record
UGCAGUCUCGCUGUCCCCAAGCUGCCGCUGCCUCAUGGCACCAAUGGCCGUGGCCCUCAUCCUUGGUUGGUGGCUGGUGGCUGUAAGCAGGGCACAGCAACCAACAUACACUGAGCAGAAGGACAACGUGCAGGACAUGGCUGAGUUCUCCUUGGCUGAAAUAAAGCAGGCAGAUGCAGUAAUAUAACAGUGCCAGUACCAGGGGUUGGCACCUGCAAGGACAUUGGAGAAGAGUGACCCCGUGAAGCUGGUGGUGACAGAUCACAGGUAUCCUCCACCUGGCAUUUCCCUCAGCCCCAGAGAACUUGUGAAGAUGGGGACCAAUAUCUCCAUCCAGUGCUGGAACAAGAAGCAUGGGGCCUCCUUCCUUCUGCACAAGGGAGGGCACUCAGCUCCAGUCUGUCUCGCUCCAAUUUAUAGGAGGGAGAGAAGGUUCUUUGAAAUAUGUAUGCCCGGCGUGAGAUUAAGAAACAACGGUUCAAAUGUUGGCCCGACCAGUUUAUUACAAAUGUUAAUAAGGGAGAUGGGGAAAGGGGAGGACGGACACUAUUAAGGAUUGGGGUGAUGGGGAAGGGAAGGCGAGCGAUAGAAAAGAUAGAAAGAGGCGAGAAUUGCGUAAAGCGGGGAUAGUCACCACCAGGAUCCAGCAGCAGUCCCGUUGCACGACGUUCCGACGGUCCGAGGCCGAAGGGCAGGAGCAGCGAGGCCGGUGUUGGGCAACGAAAGGGUGCAGGUCAGGGAGGAAGCAGCAGGUCUCAGGUAGCAGGCCCAGGGAAGUCCGUCAGCAAACGGUCCGUAGAGAAGGAUCUGAAGGCAGGAAGCUCGUGUCGUGGUGAGAGAUCAUGAGAUAUCAGCCUCUGUGUUUCGGUGAGAGAACCCCUCAAGUCUGUCGU